GCGCGGCUGCAGCUGCGCUCUCUGUCGUCACACAAACCGUGCCAACCUUUCCCGUCCGUCCUAAUCACCUGGUUGACCUGCAAAACUGCUCCAAAAGUGGUUCAUUUUCUAAUUCUGCUUUGUUAAAUCUGUGACUUUUAUCCCGGGAUUGGACCGGUUUCGACAUUUGGCGCAGAGACUCGCGGCUCCGAACUGGUGAACUCAAACCCUCCGAGAGAAAGACUGCAUUCAAACAAGUGCGGAACAUCACUCCCUCUCCAAACGAGAGCGCACUCCAAGAUAUAAAAAAUUUAUUGGCCCUUACCUGUCGGCAGCUGCCCGGAGACACGUCCAGCCGACGAGAACAGAAACAGAAGUCCCAGGAAAACCGACAAAAGUGAAUCCAUGGUCCCGCGAGUUCCGUUCAGCCCGUGAAGUUUUCUU
Long non-coding RNA from Oryzias melastigma (Indian medaka), 423 nucleotides. RefSeq lists it as uncharacterized. The transcript is spliced from 3 exons. The record is from RefSeq and is a predicted model, not a curated record. Lineage: Eukaryota; Metazoa; Chordata; Actinopteri; Beloniformes; Adrianichthyidae.